CGUCUCAUUUUUUUUCUUUUUUUUCAGAUUGCAAAGUAUGAAGAAUUUCUACAGCCAAACUUCGCUUUUAUCAAUUAUUGUACUGGGUUUGUGCAUUAGUGUACAUUCCAUGCCAUCUUCGAAUUCAGGGAACAAUAACCCUCCUACACAUACUAAAAAUGAAGACCGGGACAAAGACGUAGUAAAGUUUGAGGAGAUAUGUAGGAAAGUAUGUAACCAAAGCCAUCCGUGUCCACCAGAAUGCGCAGAUCUUAUUGAUCCUUGGGCAAUGGACACAUAUCCUUUGUACUUAAAUAAAAGAUCUCCAGGAAUUGAUGGCUUCACAUUUGAUGAUUACUUAUUUCUGAGAUGGCUUGGUCGGGAUAUGAAGCGACACAGAUUGCAAUAAAAGACUGGAUGCGAUUGCUGUUUUAUGUACUUCAAAUAUCUAUAAACACUAGACUGUUAUGGACUCUAGAUGUGUUUUGAAGGUUGUACUUUCACAAAUUCUACAUGCGUUCUUUAAAGCAAAUUUUCAUAAGCUGUGCUUUGGUAUAAGGUUAAAGAAAGCCACAAAAUGUAUAAAUAGUUUCGCAAGUAAAAACAAGCGUGUACAUAAUACAGGAAAUCUCGGAUAACCAUUCCAGUGGAUAACUGUGCAUUAAACUUUGGUUAAAAUAUACCAGAAUAUUGAAUGUGACAAUACCGUUUAACAAAUACAGUGUCUGAUCUAACAGAUGUAGUUUUAGUGGAAAAAGAUUUUCUAAAAGUUUAACCAGCGGACAACUUAGUGGAACAGUACUGAGCAGCCUAGUCCAAUAACUGCACUGAACUCUGAAUAGUUUUGCUUGGUUGUUGUGAACAAACAUAUUUUGGAGAUUCUGUCAAUUUAUUUCAAAGGGUAAAUGAAGAAAAUUGUCAAAAAGAAGGAAUACAUGUACUAUAAUUCAUUCAUGUGCCUCUCGUGAUACAAACUUUUGUUCUAUGUUAAAGAAAAUACACUGUUCAAAAUAAUUUAAUGACAACUUUGUGUUUUCAGAGGAAAUUAAAUAAUUUUGUUCAAACUUAUUGGUAAGAUAGAGCUAAGGAUAGAAAUUGCUCUGAUUUACAAUACAGUAUUCUUUAAAACUCUUUCCUUUAUCUUUUCAUGAAAUCAAAUUACUAUGUUUAGAAAAUAGAAUUAAAAAUACGGUACAAAAUAUCCAAAAUGUUCAUCAGAAAAUUUGCAUCGGCCUUUUUACACAAAUUUGAGAAGUAAAAUAUAGAUAUAUAACAAUUUGAAAAAAAGAUCACAUUCAUAUAAAAUGUGUUAUUAAAGAUAUCGCAGGCGAAUAAGAAUAUCUUGGCAGCUGCUUUAUAGCUAGUAACAAAAACAUUUGUUCAUUCAGAGUGAAUGUCACUUCUGCAAUACCGUAACACUAAUAUCAAGCCAGUCAGUUAGCGGUUUUCUUUCGAUUUGAAAACUGUCUCCAUUGUAUAAUUUGACCCGGCCACACCCUUCCUCUAGCAUUAACUUUGGAACCCGACGUUCAAAUAGCACACUGCUGUUUUUCCAGUUUUUAAACUGUUGACAAAACCAGCAACAAUAUGUAACAGUAGCUGUAUUUGUAUGCGAGUUUAAGAUAUUGUUGAAGAAAAUAUCUUUAAAGAGAAAUGGACGAAGUCCUCAACAAAAAUGCUAUUAAAGGGGCAUGCCUCCAAUUUAUGUCAUUGAUUACAAAAUUUAGAAAGUAUUUACAGACUAUUUCGCAGUAUUCUUUUAUAGAAUUCUGUGAGUAAAAUUUGUAGAAAGCUAACUCCCGUGUCAAUCAUGCGGUACAAAUUUAAUGUAAAAAGGAAAAAAAAAUCUUAUACUGUAUUUCAUUGUAAAAUAUAAGCUUCUAUUGUUAAACAUGUAUUAAUUUAUUUGUUCCCAAAAUAUUUUAUUGAGGUUUCUGUGUCUAAAGAAAUUUAUCAUUUUUGGCGUAGGCCUAUAAUUGGUGGCAUGCCCCUUUAAACGUCGUUUAUUAUGAUGAUCCUUUUUAACUUUGUAGCUCACAAUUUCUAGAACAAAUAACGGUGUUUCUUAACGGCAAUGUUAAUGUCUUUUUACAAUAAUUUCUGCAAACAAGAGUUGAAGGAUCAUUUUUGAAGGUCAGAUUUUCUUUAAAAGGUCAAACUGAUUUGGUUAUAAUGUGGCUUACACAUUUUAUUAUUGAUAGAAAAUUGAUUAAUUUCUUGAUAUUUAAUGCUUUCGGUAUUUUUUGUCGUAUAUUUAAUAUAGGUUUUAAUAUUUUAUUAACAUAGAAAGUAUUAUUGAAUCCAUUCCUUUAUAAUUACCCUAUGACUCUGAAGUGUAAAUUUAUGUUCAUCAUUGAAAAUAGUGCUUUUCUAACCACGCAAUUAUGAAUAUUCUCUAUUUUGAAUUUUUGACAGCUGUUUAUCUGCUUUAAACGUAUAAUUAAUAGCACUGUGGCACUAGUUUUUAUAAAUAUUUCACAAUGUUACAUUUCUCCACAAAUAAAUAAAUCGAAAAUUCA
Mercenaria mercenaria is the source of this 2498-nucleotide long non-coding RNA. RefSeq lists it as uncharacterized. The transcript has 4 exons. NCBI's taxonomy places the organism in Eukaryota, Metazoa, Mollusca, Bivalvia, Venerida, Veneridae. The record is from RefSeq and is a predicted model, not a curated record.